RNAcentral lists this ribosomal RNA (364 nucleotides) under Theileria ovis. RNAcentral describes it as "SSU rRNA". It matches the Rfam family "Eukaryotic small subunit ribosomal RNA", at positions 489 to 889 of the family's 1831-position model. Lineage: Eukaryota; Apicomplexa; Aconoidasida; Piroplasmida; Theileriidae. The record is from RNAcentral.
GGCUUAAUGUCUUGUAAUUGGAAUGAUGGGAAUUUAAACCUCUUCCAGAGUAUCAAUUGGAGGGCAAGUCUGGUGCCAGCAGCCGCGGUAAUUCCAGCUCCAAUAGCGUAUAUUAAAAUUGUUGCAGUUAAAAAGCUCGUAGUUGAAUUUCUGCUGCAUUGCUUUUGCUCCUUUACGAGUCUUUGCAUUGUGGCUUAUUUCGGACUUUGUUUUACAAUGUCCGGAUGUUUACUUUGAGAAAAUUAGAGUGCUCAAAGCAGGCUUUCGCCUUGAAUAGUUUAGCAUGGAAUAAUAAAGUAGGACUUUGGUUCUAUUUUGUUGGUUUUAGGUACCAAAGUAAUGGUUAAUAGGAACAGUUGGGGGC